GUGCUCACUUCAGCAGCAUGUAUGUUAAAAUUGGAACAACACAAAGAUUUGCAUGGCUCCCCCAAGGAUGACACACAGAUUCAUGAAGCAUUUCAUAUUUUG
Small nuclear RNA from Vulpes vulpes (red fox), 102 nucleotides. The record is from Ensembl. NCBI's taxonomy places the organism in Eukaryota, Metazoa, Chordata, Mammalia, Carnivora, Canidae.